GAUGAAGAACGUAGCGAAAUGCGAUAAGUAAUGUGAAUGGCAGAAUUCAGUGAAUCAUCGAAUCUUUGAACGCACAUUGCGCCCCCUGGUAUUCCGGGGGGCAUGCCUGUUCGAGCGUCAUUUCACCACUCAAGCCUCGCUUGGUAUUGGGCAACGCGGUCCGCCGCGUGCCUCAAAUCGUCCGGCUGGGUCUUCUGUCCCCUAAGCGUUGUGGAAACUAUUCGCUAAAGGGUGUUCGGGAGGCUACGCCGUAAAACAACCCCAUUUCUAAGGUUGACCUCGGAUCAGGUAGGGAUACCCGCUGAACUUAAGCAUAUCAAUAAGCGGAGGA
RNAcentral lists this unclassified non-coding RNA (331 nucleotides) under soil metagenome. RNAcentral describes it as "partial contains 5.8S ribosomal RNA, internal transcribed spacer 2, and large subunit ribosomal RNA". The stretch from base 1 to 120 matches the Rfam family "5.8S ribosomal RNA", at positions 35 to 154 of the family's 154-position model. The record is from RNAcentral.